AGGGGAGUAGCUCAAUUGGUAGAGCGGCGGUCUCCAAAACCGUAGGUUGCGGGUUCGAGUCCUGUCUCCCCUGCCA
This 76-nucleotide transfer RNA is filed under the name Desulfofundulus thermocisternus. Its description in RNAcentral is "tRNA-Trp". It matches the Rfam family "tRNA". Rfam says of the family: Transfer RNA (tRNA) molecules are approximately 80 nucleotides in length. Their secondary structure includes four short double-helical elements and three loops (D, anti-codon, and T loops). RNAcentral also lists the same sequence under 6 other names. The record is from RNAcentral. Lineage: Bacteria; Bacillati; Bacillota; Clostridia; Eubacteriales; Peptococcaceae.